RNAcentral lists this unclassified non-coding RNA (209 nucleotides) under Hevea brasiliensis (rubber tree). Lineage: Eukaryota; Viridiplantae; Streptophyta; Magnoliopsida; Malpighiales; Euphorbiaceae. The record is from RNAcentral.
UAGUUCAAUCCCUGAGCAUCAGGUACAAGUAUGACUACUGCAGAAGUUCUAAUUUAACUUUUUGAAUGUGAUGGCAAAUAGUGUCCAUAUACCCAAUAAAUAUCUUGUUUGCUGGAUUUUGUCAUAUUUUUCAAGGCACAUAACUCAUAAUUAGACUAUAUUUUUGAAGUGUGAAAGCUCUCUGUUCUUACCAUUAUGUACUAUUGCUG